Molecule: ribosomal RNA, 775 nt
Filed under: uncultured Neocallimastigales
Lineage: Eukaryota; Fungi; Neocallimastigomycota; Neocallimastigomycetes; Neocallimastigales
Description: partial large subunit ribosomal RNA
Rfam family: Eukaryotic large subunit ribosomal RNA
Source: RNAcentral
UAUGUGAUCGUCUCUCGCAUAUCAAUAAGCGGAGGAAAAGAAACUAACAAGGAUUCCCCUAGUAACGGCGAGUGAAGCGGGAAGAGCUCAAAUUUGAAAUCUUAAAGGGUUUCCCUUUACGAAUUGUAGUUUAAAGAAGUGUUUUCUGUUGAGGUUUUGGUAAAAGUUCUUUGGAAUAGGACAUCAUAGAGGGUGAGAAUCCCGUAUUUGACCUUUACUUUCAACUUUGUGAUACACUUUCAAAGAGUCGGAUUGUUUGGGAAUGCAGUCCAAAAUGGGUGGUAAAUUUCAUCUAAAGCUAAAUAUUGGCGAGAGACCGAUAGCGAACAAGUACCGUGAGGGAAAGAUGAAAAGAACUUUGAAAAGAGAGUUAAACAGUACGUGAAAUUGUCAAAAGGGAAGCGUUUGACACCAGUGUUGUUUUUCUGAAAAUCAAUUAAAGAACUGUUUAUGCUAAGCUGUUUAGACUUUAUCAACUAAUCUGUUUAGUUUUGAGCUUUUCUUUAAUGCACUUUUCAGUUAACAAGUCAACAUCAAUUUCUUUUGCUGUAAAAAAGCUUGAGGAAGGUGGCUUGAGAUUCGUCUUAAGUGUUUAUAGCCUCUUGCCUAUGCAGUCGGAGAGAUUGAGGUCUGCAGCGUAGAUCCUUCGGGGCUAAAUGCAUUUGUGCUAAGUUAUAGCAUUUUAUAGACAACUUGUUGACUAUGAUUUGUCUUGUAGCUUACUCGCUUAUGUUAUUUUACCUACGCUUAGGAUGUUGAGUCGUAGAGCACGCAG